UUUGAGAGAAGGGAUGACACAGUAGGAUAAGCUAAGCACACUGUUGGUUAUGUGUGCCCAAGCAUUGAGGCAGUCAAAGUAGGCAAAUCCGCUUUGAUAAUGCUGGGAUGUGAUGGGGAGCGAAAUUUAGUAGCGAAGUAGCUGAUUUCACACUGUCAAGAAAAGUCUCUAUCGAGGUUAAAGGUACCCGUACCGCAAACCGACACAGGUGGGUGAGGAGAGUAUCCUAAGGCCAGCGAGAGAACUGUUGUUAAGGAACUCGGCAAAAUGACCCCGUAACUUAGGGAUAAGGGGUGCCACCAUCAGGUGGCCGCAGAGAAUAGGCCCAAGCGACUGUUUACCAAAAACAUAGGUUUCUGCUAAGUCGCAAGACGAUGUAUAGGAGCUGACGCCUGCCCGGUGCUGGAAGGUUAAGGGGAUCUGUUAGAGCAAUCGAAGCAGUGAACUUAAGCCCCAGUAAACGGCGGCCGUAACUAUAACGGUCCUAAGGUAGCGAAAUUCCUUGUCGGGUAAGUUCCGACCCGCACGAAAGGCGUAACGAUUUGGGCACUGUCUCAACAACAGACUCGGUGAAAUUGUAAUUCCGGUGAAGAUGCCGGAUACCUGCGACAGGACGGAAAGACCCCAUGGAGCUUUACUGUAGCUUGACAUUGGGUCUUGGUACUACAUGUACAGGAUAGGUGGGAGGCUUUGAAACCAGGACGCCAGUUUUGGCGGAGCCAUCCUUGGGAUACCACCCUUGUAGUACUGGGACUCUAACCAUAGGCCAUGAAUCUGGUCUUGGGACACUGUCAGGUGGGCAGUUUGACUGGGGCGGUCGCCUCCCAAAAGGUAACGGAGGCGCUCAAAGGUUCUCUCAGUACGGUCGGAAAUCGUACGUAGAGUGUAAAGGCAAAAGAGAGCUUGAUUGCAAGACAUACAGGUCGAGCAAGGAUGAAAAUCGGACUUAGUGAUCCGGUGGUUCUGCGUGGAAGGGCCAUCGCUCAACGGAUAAAAGCUACCCUGGGGAUAACAGGCUUAUCUCCCCCAAGAGUCCACAUCGACGGGGAGGUUUGGCACCUCGAUGUCGGCUCAUCACAUCCUGGGGCUGUAGUAGGUCCCAAGGGUUGGGCUGUUCGCCCAUUAAAGUGGUACGCGAGCUGGGUUCAGAACGUCGUGAGACAGUUCGGUCCCUAUCCGUCGCAGGCGUAGGAAAUUUGAGAAGACCUGUCCUUAGUACGAGAGGACCGGGAUGGACGUACCUCUGGUGUACCAGUUGUCCUGCCAAGGGCAUGGCUGGGUAGCUAUGUACGGAAUGGAUAAGCGCUGAAAGCAUCUAAGCGCGAAGCCAACUUCAAGAUAAGAUUUCCCACCGCAAGGGUAAGACCCCAGAAAGACUAUCUGGUUGAUAGGUCGAAGGUGUAAGUGCAGCAAUGUAUUUAGCUUAUCGAUACUAAUAGGUCGAGGACUUGACCAA
Molecule: ribosomal RNA, 1456 nt
Filed under: Clostridioides difficile
Lineage: Bacteria; Bacillati; Bacillota; Clostridia; Peptostreptococcales; Peptostreptococcaceae
Description: bacterial LSU rRNA
Rfam family: Bacterial large subunit ribosomal RNA
Source: RNAcentral